UGCGCUGGGCUGGGUGGCUUGGUUUGUAGGGUCUGGGCUUAGUGGCUGGGUGUCUUGGUUGGUGUUUGGGGGGUCUCGGCCCUCAGUCUUUCCAGGGUUCCGAGUGGUGGUGGGUCAGAUGAGGUCAGAGGGUCCUGAAGAACACAGGCCAUGAAGAUAAACAGAGAGGGGAGAGAGAAACAGAGAGGAGAGAGACAGAGAUAAACAGAGAGGAGAGAGAAACAGAGUGGGGAGAGAGAAACAAAGAGGAGAGACAGAGAUAAACAGAGAGGAGAGAGAAACAGAGAGGAGAGAGACAGAGAGAAACAGAGAGGAGAGAGAAACAGAGAGGAGAGAGACAGAGAGAAACAGAGAGGAGAGAGACAGAGAUAAACAGAGAGGGGAGAGAGAAACAGAGAGGAGAGAGACAGAGAUAAACAGAGAGGAGAGAGACAGAGAUAAACAGAAGAGAGAGAAACAGAGAUAAACAGAGAGGGGAGAGAGAAACAGAGAGGAGAGAGACAGAGAUAAACAGAGAGGGGAGAGAGAAACAGAGAGGAGAGAGACAGAGAUACAGAGUGGGGAGAGAGAGAGAGAA
Molecule: long non-coding RNA, 577 nt
Organism: Oncorhynchus tshawytscha (Chinook salmon)
Lineage: Eukaryota; Metazoa; Chordata; Actinopteri; Salmoniformes; Salmonidae
Source: Ensembl